UUCCGCAAUGGGCGAAAGCCUGACGGAGCAACGCCGCGUGAGUGAUGAAGGUCUUCGGAUCGUAAAACUCUGUUGUUAGGGAAGAACAAAUUUGUUAGUAACUGAACAAGUCUUGACGGUACCUAACCAGAAAGCCACGGCUAACUACGUGCCAGCAGCCGCGGUAAUACGUAGGUGGCAAGCGUUAUCCGGAAUUAUUGGGCGUAAAGCGCGCGUAGGCGGUUUCUUAAGUCUGAUGUGAAAGCCCACGGCUCAACCGUGGAGGGUCAUUGGAAACUGGGAAACUUGAGUGCAGAAGAGGAGAGUGGAAUUCCAUGUGUAGCGGUGAAAUGCGCAGAGAUAUGGAGGAACACCAGUGGCGAAGGCGGCUCUCUGGUCUGUAACUGACGCUGAUGUGCGAAAGCGUGGGGAUCAAACAGGAUUAGAUACCCUGGUAGUCCACGCCGUAAACGAUGAGUGCUAAGUGUUAGGGGGUUUCCGCCCCUUAGUGCUGCAGCUAACGCAUUAAGCACUCCGCCUGGGGAGUACGACCGCAAGGUUGAAACUCAA
This 549-nucleotide ribosomal RNA is filed under the name Staphylococcus sp. RNAcentral describes it as "bacterial SSU rRNA". It matches the Rfam family "Bacterial small subunit ribosomal RNA", at positions 364 to 904 of the family's 1533-position model. The record is from RNAcentral. Lineage: Bacteria; Bacillati; Bacillota; Bacilli; Caryophanales; Staphylococcaceae.